ACACCUGGAACCAACCCUGUGACACUGUGGGGCCUUACAGGAACAGAGGGCAAUUACCACACUCUGAAGGCACAUGGAACCAAGGGGACCCCAUUACACUGCUUUUGUGGCCUUUAUGGAAACAAGUAAUCCUUGUAAAACUGAGGGGCCUUGUGCACAAUGGCCAUUGUGACUCUGUGCGGGCACAUGGAACCAAGGGGCCAUUGUGACACUGCAGGAUGUCAUGAAACAAAGAGGCUCUCUGGGGCUUCUUGGUGCCCAGGGGCCACUGUGACACCCUAAGGCCAUGUUGAACCCAGUGGCCACUGGCCUUUGUAACCAAAACAUGUGAAGGGUUUGGAGCCCCUGUGACACCACGAGGCCUCAUGGAACCAAGUGGACACAGUGAUACUGUGGGCCCUCAUCGUGAGCGAUCUAUUGUGAUAGUUGUGUGCAUCUGCAGGGAGGCAAACCAGGGGAGCCUAAGCCUGUUGAUCCCAAAAAAACCUAUCUUCACAUAAGCAUGUCUCUGAGAGCAGUGCUCUAUAUUCCCUCUACUCUCCAGGGCUCUUCCAUCUUUUGAUGCCGAUUAAUCUGGUAGCUGACACCACUGGGCAGGGCCCCCAUGGCCCCAGUCUGACCCCAGACUGGGCCCAACUCUCACUCAUUCUCACCAAAAGGUCUCACCAGCAGCAGGCACUUGGUCCUCACAGCACACAAACACACACACACAGUGAAAAUGGGAAUACACAGAGAGCAAACAUUGAAGAAGAUUGAGCAGGACAGGGCAGACCCAGGUGAUCAGGUACCAGGAUCAGCCAAGAAAGUCCACUGAGCAGUCCCUUUUCACCAUACAGUCAGAGAGAAUGGAUUGAAAGAUCUCUGCUCUCAUGUGGCCCCCCUGCAAUGAGCAGGCACAUCUUUCACCAGAUCAGGUUACUCAGAGCCCUGUCCCACCUGACCUUCACUGUUUCUGGGAAUGGGACAUGCACACCACCCUGGGAACUUGUUAACACAGCAAUUAUCAAUCACACUUGUUACCACAGCAACUAUCAACUCAGGACCCCUUCCUAAGUGUGGUGCCACAGCAAGCAAGGCUUGAACCAGUUGUGAUGCUCAGUUGCCAUGGAAACCAGCACCAGGAAACCCCCCCCCCUCCCAUUCCUAUGGGCUUGUGCCAUGGAAUUCUGGACCUGUCAUGUUACCAUGACAAACAUCAGCCAAAUGCACUGCUGAAGUCCAAUGUCAUGGCAACCAGACAGGGAAAUGCUAUGCCAGGGACUAUUUCCAUGUUAACCAGCACUUGGGGAUGGCUGUCAUGGCAAUUGUCAUGGAUACGUUGCCAGGGGCUGCUGCCCUGGACAUUUCACUGAGACCUGAUGCUGUGGUUGGCUGCCACCACAACCAUUUUAGGUCCUGUUGCCAAGGUUGGUUGCCAUGACAACCAUCGGGGCAGUUGCUAUGGUAGUUGCCAUGACAACCUACCCAGAGACCACCCCCAUUGCUGCAAUUUCCAUGGCAAUCAUCAAUAAACUAAUUGCCAGGGACUUGCAUGAAUCAAUGCUAUUGAAAGGUCAGCCUUCACAAGGCACCAGUUUUUUGGCGACCCCGAAGAUCACAAAGCACCUGGGAAACCCCUGGACCAGAGCCAGAGGCACAUCCAGCUUCAGCCCUCAUCCCCCUCGCUCCCGUGGCACUCCCAGGGGGCCCAGCUGCAGUCCAGAGGGUAUUGGAGCCCCAGAAUCUCUGGAGCUGACAGACACGUGUGAGCAGACAGAGGGGUGUUCUCCCCCAUGGGGUGCUCCAGCAAACUGGGCAUGAGGCCAGAGAAAGAGGCAGAGAGAUGUAACUGUGCACUGUUGCCAUGGCAGCAAGUGGGGGUACCCUCAGUCCAUUAAUAAAAUCAGGCACUGAAACGGGCAGAUAUGAUUUUACGCCCUUUCCUGCUGUUUGCACUUCCUGCAAGCUUUCUGGAGUGUUGCUGGCAAUAUUUUUGUACUUUUUCAGGUGAUUUAGACAACACCUCACAAGACACACUCACAGUAUCAGGAGAAUUAUGGGAUAUACCAUGGAGUCAUGUCCCUAGGAAAUACCAAGGUUCUAAGUGAUUAGUUACUGUUUGAGUCUAGAAGUGGGCAGUACAAACUUCAAUUUUUCUUUCAAGUGCUCAUGGGGAAAGCACAGCAUAUUCUUCCAGAUCUUUGCACAAUAUUUGUUAGCUACAUACAAUAACAAAUCUCAUUUACAUCACUGCUCAACAGCUCAACAUAAGGAACCCAAACUACUGGCCUAUCCAUAAGACUACACAAAAAGAAUGCAACAAAUAUGUUUUGCUUCCCACUUCAGCUGAAUUUGGGAUUUUUGAUUUUUCAUUUUAUUUUAAGACGUACUUGUAGUUUUCUUGUUAUGUUAGGCUCUGAAGUAGGGUUGUGAAACCAAGAUUAAUCAAGGAUUAACACAGAAAUAGAUGUUCUGAUCUAUCCUUACACUUCUGCUGGUCCCUAGGAAGGCUGGAGGGUGAUUUCUGUCUGUGUUCAAAUAUUUAAACCAACAACAUCUAGUGCCACACUUCGUAUUUCAGACAAACAAUUUAAUUGCUCUUAACAUUGUUUUCACAGUCUUUUAACAUGCACAUUUUACUCCUUAUGAAGCUGAAAUCUUUUUAAAUACAAGUAAUUCUACUGAAAGUUUAGAAGUUUCAAAACCGUUUUAACAUACUGAAAACAGAACAGUCUAAAAAGACAGGUCUAACAGCCAUUAAAAUGCAAGAAAAAGCAAGAG
Long non-coding RNA from Passer domesticus (house sparrow), 2760 nucleotides. RefSeq lists it as uncharacterized. NCBI's taxonomy places the organism in Eukaryota, Metazoa, Chordata, Aves, Passeriformes, Passeridae. The transcript is spliced from 2 exons. The record is from RefSeq and is a predicted model, not a curated record.